RNAcentral lists this ribosomal RNA (253 nucleotides) under uncultured bacterium. RNAcentral describes it as "partial 16S ribosomal RNA". It matches the Rfam family "Bacterial small subunit ribosomal RNA", at positions 524 to 776 of the family's 1533-position model. The record is from RNAcentral.
UACGUAGGGUGCAAGCGUUGUCCGGAAUUAUUGGGCGUAAAGAGCUCGUAGGCGGUCUGUCGCGUCUGCUGUGAAAACUCGGGGCUUAACCCCGGGCCUGCAGUGGGUACGGGCAGACUAGAGUGCGGUAGGGGAGACUGGAAUUCCUGGUGUAGCGGUGAAAUGCGCAGAUAUCAGGAGGAACACCGGUGGCGAAGGCGGGUCUCUGGGCCGUAACUGACGCUGAGGAACGAAAGCAUGGGGAGCAAACAGG